Molecule: ribosomal RNA, 441 nt
Filed under: uncultured bacterium
Lineage: Bacteria
Description: partial 16S ribosomal RNA
Rfam family: Bacterial small subunit ribosomal RNA
Source: RNAcentral
CCUACGGGAGGCAGCAGUGGGGGAUAUUGCACAAUGGGGGAAACCCUGAUGCAGCGACGCCGCGUGGGUGAAGGAGCGUUUCGGCGCGUAAAGCCCUAUCGGCAGGGGAGAAAGAGGACGGUACCUGACUAAGAAGCCCCGACUAACUACGUGCCAGCAGCCGCGGUACUACGGAGGGGGCGAGCGUUAUCCGGAUUUACUGGGUGUAAAGGGUGCGCAGACGGCGGCGCAAGCCAGGAGUGAAGGCCCGGGGCCCAACCCCGGGACUGCUCUUGGCACUGCGCGGCUGGAGUGCAGGAGGGGCAGGCGGAAUUCCUGGUGUAGCGGUGAAAUGCGUAGAUAUCAGGAGGAACACCGGUGGCGAAGGCGGGCUGCUGGACUGCGACUGACGUUGAGGCCCGAAAGCGUGGGGAGCAAACAGGAUUAGAUACCCUGGUAGUC